GAAUGAAUUAUUAACAUCCUUCCCUACUGUUCCUGGGCUUGAUGGGAAUGAACUCUGGAUCUUUCUGGCUGAACAGAAGAAAGGCAAUAGUCCAGGAGUAGAAACAGCAGCUUUACAACAGCAACUAAACAGCUUGUCCCAGCAGCCAUGGGUAAUUUGUUGGAGAGGAAGAAGAGGAGGAAGACUACUGAGUUUUCAACCAGAAAGGCUUGCCUACUGCUGUCUAAACUUUUUUGGAUAACCAAGGCAGUUAACUUGUCAGCUGUUACCUGCAGAUCAUUUUGUGGCCAAAGAGGCUGUUUUUCUUGCUGA
Molecule: long non-coding RNA, 312 nt
Filed under: Coturnix japonica (Japanese quail)
Lineage: Eukaryota; Metazoa; Chordata; Aves; Galliformes; Phasianidae
Description: lncRNA (ENSCJPG00005004190.1)
Source: RNAcentral